Molecule: ribosomal RNA, 991 nt
Filed under: Microbacterium paraoxydans
Lineage: Bacteria; Bacillati; Actinomycetota; Actinomycetes; Micrococcales; Microbacteriaceae
Description: bacterial SSU rRNA
Rfam family: Bacterial small subunit ribosomal RNA
Source: RNAcentral
GCGUGCUUAACACAUGCAAGUCGAACGGUGAAGCAGGAGCUUGCUCUUGUGGAUCAGUGGCGAACGGGUGAGUAACACGUGAGCAACCUGCCCCUGACUCUGGGAUAAGCGCUGGAAACGGCGUCUAAUACUGGAUAUGUGACGUGACCGCAUGGUCUGCGUUUGGAAAGAUUUUUCGGUUGGGGAUGGGCUCGCGGCCUAUCAGCUUGUUGGUGAGGUAAUGGCUCACCAAGGCGUCGACGGGUAGCCGGCCUGAGAGGGUGACCGGCCACACUGGGACUGAGACACGGCCCAGACUCCUACGGGAGGCAGCAGUGGGGAAUAUUGCACAAUGGGCGAAAGCCUGAUGCAGCAACGCCGCGUGAGGGAUGACGGCCUUCGGGUUGUAAACCUCUUUUAGCAGGGAAGAAGCGAAAGUGACGGUACCUGCAGAAAAAGCGCCGGCUAACUACGUGCCAGCAGCCGCGGUAAUACGUAGGGCGCAAGCGUUAUCCGGAAUUAUUGGGCGUAAAGAGCUCGUAGGCGGUUUGUCGCGUCUGCUGUGAAAUCCCGAGGCUCAACCUCGGGCCUGCAGUGGGUACGGGCAGACUAGAGUGCGGUAGGGGAGAUUGGAAUUCCUGGUGUAGCGGUGGAAUGCGCAGAUAUCAGGAGGAACACCGAUGGCGAAGGCAGAUCUCUGGGCCGUAACUGACGCUGAGGAGCGAAAGGGUGGGGAGCAAACAGGCUUAGAUACCCUGGUAGUCCACCCCGUAAACGUUGGGAACUAGUUGUGGGGUCCAUUCCACGGAUUCCGUGACGCAGCUAACGCAUUAAGUUCCCCGCCUGGGGAGUACGGCCGCAAGGCUAAAACUCAAAGGAAUUGACGGGGACCCGCACAAGCGGCGGAGCAUGCGGAUUAAUUCGAUGCAACGCGAAGAACCUUACCAAGGCUUGACAUAUACGAGAACGGGCCAGAAAUGGUCAACUCUUUGGACACUCGUAAACAGGUGGU